CCUCGUCGAUCUGCUGCGGGCUGAUGAAGUGGAUGUGCGAAUCGAUGCCGCCCGCCGUCACGAUCAUGCCUUCGCCCGCGAUGACUUCGGUGGCGGCGCCGAUCGCGAUCGUCACGCCCGGCUGGAUGUCGGGAUUGCCCGCCUUGCCGAUCGCCUGGAUGCGGCCGCCCUUGAUGCCGAUGUCGGCCUUUACGAUGCCCCAGUGAUCGAGGAUCAGCGCGUUCGUCACGACGGUGUCGGCGACGUCGUUGGCGACGCGCUGCGACUGGCCCAUGCCGUCGCGGA
This is a small RNA of 285 nucleotides. It matches the Rfam family "5' ureB small RNA". The record is from Rfam.